Long non-coding RNA from Dermochelys coriacea (leatherback sea turtle), 6029 nucleotides. RefSeq lists it as uncharacterized. The transcript has 4 exons. The record is from RefSeq and is a predicted model, not a curated record. Lineage: Eukaryota; Metazoa; Chordata; Testudines; Dermochelyidae.
UGCUUUAAGGCUGUGAGCGUGCCAAGUGGAAAUUACAGAAUCAACUUCUUCUGUAGGUUACAUGUCAGGUGUCUCAUGCUGGCUUGAGGGCUUUGCAGCAACAGCCAUGAAUUCCACCCUGUCCCGAACACACUGGGUACAUUAUCUGAUGAGUUUUCUUGUGUGAGCUUGUUCUGUCGGCCUGUCCCAAGGGUCUGCCAUGAUGCAGUGGAUGUGGUCAAUGAUUGAUUGUUAUUAUGCAGCCCAGGGUAUUUAUUGCUCAAACCAUACUUUCAACUAUUAUUAGUAUCACUGUGAUUAGAGGCCUCAAUCUGGAUCAGAGCCCCAUUGCUCUAGGCACUGUAUAUGUACCUAGGAAAAGAUGGUCUCUUCUCCAAAUGGCUUACAAUCAAAAUAGAUGAGAGACAUGAAGUAUUAUUAACCCUAUUUGGCCCUGAGAAACUGAGUCCCAAAGAGCCCAGAUUUCUCCUUUGACCCUUUAUAAAUCUGGCCCAGAGUGACUUGCCCAAAGUCACACAUGGAGUUUGUGGCAGAGCUAGGAACUAAGCCCUGACUUUCUCAUUCUCCUCUAGUGACUGAGCUAUAAACCAUCCUUCCCAGCUAACACUGCAAGAAAGGGAAGUAGAAUGAUCCUAGGAAUUACUAUUUGAGCAGUGAAUCAUAUCCUGAUAGAGCAAAGGGUUAAAGAAAAGAGUCCCUGUGGAAAGGAUAAUAGGACCAUGGGCAGGAGCAGGAUGUGUGUUUGGAGAGAACAAGCCUUGCCAAACACACCUGAAUGCUUCCUUGAUGAUUCUGUUCUGGUUUCAUAGCUCAUCAUGCUGCAACAUAAAGGCAUUUGACUUGGUUUCUUGGUUCACCUCCAAUAAUACUGAUAACAAUUAAUGGAGUAAUAAGAUAAAUAGCUGUACCCUCUCCUGAUGGUUUUCUACAUUUCAUUUGAUAGUUAGAAGGUUGGAUACAUAUGUUAUGAGAUCUCUUUGGAACUGACGGUCAGCUAGAUGAUCAGGCAAAGUGUCAUAUAGGCCUUGUAAUAUUUUUUCAGAGGGAGUCACUUUGCAGAUUUUCACUCUUCAUUGGUUUCACAACAUAUCAGCUGAGGGUAUCAUCUCCUUUAUUCUAAAAUAAUGCUUUGUUAUAACUUUGUUAAUGAUUAGUUAUAUCUAUAGUCUAAAGUACUUGCAAUAUUCUUUUUAAUGAGAUUGCUUUGGCAAUGAAACUUCCUCAAGCUGAUGGCUCUGUUGCAGAAAGCUCAAGAUAGAUUUUAAUUUUCUGUACAGUUUCUAAAAUUAUACUGCCAUAUCAAUUCACAGCUUGAUCUACUGUAUCCCUUUUUGGAACGUCUAGGCACAAAGCGUAUCAUAUAGAACGAACUGUUAUAAGAUAAAGUUAUUUCAUAGCUUAGUAAGAGUUUGUGGUUAGCUUAGCUAGUGCCUGUUGCUGUCGCUCAGUGUAACUCCUCUAUGAACCACAGGCACUGCAUCUGCCACUGGACAUGUUUUAAGAAUUUAGGACUAAGUUAUGCCAAGGAUUCUGGCCUGUGCCUUUAGUAGUAAUACAGUCCAUGUUUUCUGUGUCGUUACAGUUGACAAGUCCUUGUCUUGAGGAAAUUACAAUCUUGGUUGACAUACUGGCCCCAGGGAAGCCAAUGGGAGUUCUGUCAUUGACUUCCAUUGGGUCAGGACAAGUUCCUGAACAACUACACCAGUUAAACAUCAUUGGCCUGAUACAAAACUGAUUUAAGUGAAUGGAAAGAGUUCCUUUGAUGUCAGUGGCCUGUGGAUGAGGACCUUUGGUUCAGAGAUGAAUUCAGGAAACAGCUCCCCUGAGAAGUGCCUUGGUACCAGACUGUGUGUGUGUGUCAGGUGUUAUCUCUUUUAUACACUAUUGAUCAAUAUUCUAUGUGUUUUAGUUUAUUUUCCUAUUUUUAAGCCUCCAUCCCCUUAUGGAGAGGGCUCAAAUCCUGGUAAAAUCACAAAAUAACAGUAAUACCACUGAGGAUACUAUGAGCCAUGAAUCAUGAGUCUGGUGGGUGAGGAUAUUAUGUGGUGUACAGGAAUUGGGUGAUAUCCCUUUAAACAGCUGGGAACCCUCUAGUGCGCUUCCCUGUCUCCUGUUGCUGUAUCCACCAGAACUCUGCUGGAGCAGAAGUGUUCAUGGGUAGCCAGGCCUAGCAGUAUUGUACCUAGUAAUACACAUGUGAGAGAACAGGGUCCCAGAGCCUAGGCUCCAGCCUGAGCAGAAACGUCUACACUGCAAUUUUAAACCCCACAGCCCAAGCCCCGUGACCCAAGCCAGCCAAAGGUGUUUAAUUGCUAUGUAGACAUAUCCUUUGAGUCUGUCACUAUAAGGCGUGCUUUCUAAUCCUUUAAUCAGUCUUGUGGCUCUUCUCUGAAACCUCUUCAGUGUAAUCAACAUCCUCUUGGAACUAUGGACUCCAGCACUAGACACAGUAUUCCACCAGUGCAAAAUACAGAGGUCAAAUAGUCUCUCCACUUCCUCUCGAGAUGCUCCUGUUUAUGCAUCCAGGAUUGCAUCAGCUCUUUUGGCCACAGCUUCACACUGGAAGUUUAUGUUCAGCUGAUUAUUGACCACCACCCCCAAGUCUUUUUCAGAAUUACUCCUUCCCAGGAUAGAGUCCCCCAUCCUGUUUCUUUGUUCCUAAGAGUUUAAAGGGUUCUAGGAGCCAUUUGACCCUCCCCGUCCAAUUUUUAAAGACAGACGUGACUAGACUCAAUUGAGAGACCUGGUUCUUUCUCAGUGAUCACUAGAGCUGAUAUCAAUGAUAAGCUGAUCUAAGGGGGCAGUGUCAUGGUGUGGAGACCGUGCUGCAGUGAAAUGACAACACAGAAGAGGCAGCAGCAGAGAGAUUUCCACUACCCAGUGAAAUCAUGAGGAGCUGAAGUCACGAAGAACCGGGCUCGGUGGUGGAACCUCAGAACAUGGCGAGCAGCUGGGGGGCGUCAGUGACAGUGGCAGCAAUGAGCAGUGGCAGAGAAGCCGACAGAGACAGCGACAGCAGCAAGCCGUGGCAGUGACAAUGGCCGAGAAAGCGGCGGAGACAUUGACAAGAAGUGGCACAGACCGCAGCAAUAGUGGUGACCGGAGAUGGAGGCAUCACUCAAACCCCCCUUGCCCCAGAGGCAGGAGGUCCCCUGGACUCUGGGAUGGCAACGACCUCAGAUAGCAAACCAUGAGUGGGAUGCACUGGGGGGAAAUGUGGAGCGGCGUAUUAAAGGACUUUCACACCGUACUGUGGGAAACUGAGGCAAAGGACUAUUGCCCAAGAUACUGCAGAGUGAGUGUUUUACUUAUUGUUUGCUUUCUUUCAAGUCAUUGUUGCAGCAUUUUCCCAGAUUCGUGCUGUAUUUUCUUCUCUUAAUAAACAUUUACUUCUCUUAUACAUACUCUCAGUACCUGCAAUUGGGGAACUAUUCCCUCUAAAAGGGGCCCCGAGGUAGUGGCUUUUUCCCCCCAAAUUUCUGGAUGGGGGCUCGAGCUGGUUCUGCUUCACAAUGAUAAGAAAUACCCCUGUUACUGCCGACACCACCUGGCAGAAGGGUUACAGGAGGAAUAAAGAUCUGCACACAUGAGAUCAUUGAAACAUACAGAGAUGUGUGGACUGUGGUCUAUAACCACCCAUGUGUGGCACUAACCCAGAAUAGAGACUUUUUAGGGUAUGUUAUUUUAUUUCUUAUUUUGAAAAAGUUAAAAGAAAUGGAUUUCUAAGGAACAGAACAAGAGAAACAAACUGCACUAGGGGACUCUCCAAAGCCUGCUGAUGCCAAUGGAGGGUCUUUCCAUUGACCUCAUGGGGCUUUGUACCAGGCUGUAGAUAUUCACCAGGUCUAAAUAUACAUAAUGUAACUUCUUCAAGGCAGCAGGGACUUGUCAAUUACAUUUCUGUAACAUACUCUGGUGCGGUGUGGAUAACAGUCAUUAUUAUUAACUGCAGCACAUAUGUUUUAAAUACCACUUUUAGCAAAACAAGAUUUCUACAACUCAGUAUAUCACAAUUCUCAGUACCCUAAAUACAGGGGUGCUCCAUCUCCUUUCUGUCAUGAUGUCUCUUCCCUCUAGGGACCUGAGAUCCUCAAUGACCCUCUGUCAUAAAGAUCCUUUACCUUCUCUUUGUUGUUCUUGGUGCUCCAGAUUGCUUCAGGUCAGAUGUAAAUAAAAUCUAGGGAUAAUAUAGAGAGACAUUUCUGAGCUUCAAGUUCAGUUGCCUAAUUCUUUCUAUUAAACUUCUUCCAAUUCCUUUUCUGAAGACUUCUAAAGCCUCAGUGGGUUGCAGUAGAAAUGUGAAAUUUGAUAGGUGAACAGCCCGGACACCAGGAAGGUUCCUUUGCUGCAUCCAUGGAAAUCCAUUCAGAUUUGGUUAAAUUCUGAACUAAUAAAAAUAACAUUCCCAGCUGUGUUUUCCUCAACAGAUGCUUGUUGCUAAAAAAAAAAAAAAAAAACAACCCAACAGUCGAUCUGCACCUCAUGGCACUAGGAGCUGUAAAUACUUUAAGUUUGGAAAAGUUAUAAAUAAUUGAAAACUGUCAAAUGAAAGAAAGUAUCUAGUAACCUCUAUUUUAGGUGUUGCUACCUGCACCACCUAUAAUGUUUAGCUAAUUAUAACAAAGAUAACAAAGCAUUUGGUUUAUAUUGAAGAAGGUGAUAAAUUUGAAACCAAUAUGAAGGGAAAAUUUUUAAGGUGAAUUCAGCUAAAAUGUAAUAAAGCCUAGACGGCAACAAAGUCUAAUCAGCAUUUUGACUAGUGCAAAAACAGAUUAUAUUGUUAUUCUUAAUUGUUAGUAUUUUUAAACUUAUGAUGCAAUCCUACUAAUUUACAAAUGAAAUGUAGAAAUUACCCAGCUGCUGGUACAGUGCCAUGUAGAGCAAUUUGUCUAACUAUUGAUUUAAUUGUGAUAAACAUUGUAAGUAAUGAAUAAGUCAAAUGACUUUAUGUUGCAGCGUGAUGAACUAUGAAACACAUACAAAUCAUCAAGAAAUGUGAAAGGACUUUACAUAAAGAAUCUUUCCUGCCUUCAAAAUGGACAUUUCUGCUGGCAGCUCAAACUGCUGAUGGAGAAAUUGUCUCUUGGGGAAGGACACAGAGUCGUGUCAAGUUGGCCAAGGACCACACCACAGGGAAGCCAACAGAAAGGGGCCUGAAGAAAUAAAUUGUUGACCAGAGCUAAACCAGCAAGUGUUCGUUAUAUGUCCCAAGACAUUUUACACAAAGCUCUGUGGCCUAACGUGUCUUGCACAAUCUGGGAGGGCACAAGAUGUUUUGCACAAAGACCAUGAAAUUUUCCACAGAUAAAGUUGCAAUUCCAAUAUCUUAAUUAUGGUAGGACAUUUCAAAUCUUCUCCAGAAGCAGGGGUCACUUUCUGAUUGGCCCACAGCAGCUUUGCCAAGAAGAAAACAAGCCUUCAGAAACUGUAUAAAACUGGCUGUUCUGUUCAAAGCCUCACUCCCUGAAGCUCAUAAAUCUGGAUCAGAGAGGCAGUGAGCAGGACUGCCAUCACCUGGCUACUGAGAGCACCCUCUGUCUGCAAAUUCAGGGACUCUGUCUCCUUGCUGUCUUGGAAUCUCUUCUCUUCAGUGACGCUGAGUUCCAGGCCAACCUUCAGCCAUGAAGAUCCUUUACCUGCUCUUUGCUGUUGUCUUCUUGGUGGUCCAGGGUGUCCCAGAAUUCUCCCAGGCUGAGAGGAACAGCUUGAUGUGUAGAGAGCUUGGAGGUGCCUGCUUCCCUCUAAGAUGUCCGUCCAAUUCUGUGCACAUUAGAAGUUGCUAUCCACAGGGCGUUUGCUGUCGAAGGAGAUUUUUUGACUGAUUGUCUAAUCAGGAUCUCUUGGAAUCUGGGAGACAGCCACUUACUUCUAAAAUCAACAGAUCCUGCUUCAAUGGAACCCUGAAGUGCUGCUUAUGUGGGCCAUAAAGAACCUUGUGAGCUGGAGAAAUUCCAGAAGGGAGCCCUUGUGUCCCCCAUAUAAGAUUUGUUAUUCUCCUUUUAAUAAAAACAAGCUGGUGUGAGAUCAUA